AGAGUUUGAUCCUGGCUCAGGACGAACGCUGGCGGCGUGCUUAACACAUGCAAGUCGAGCGGUAAGGCCCUUUCGGGGGUACACGAGCGGCGAACGGGUGAGUAACACGUGGGUGACCUGCCCUCCACUCUGGGAUAAGCCCGGGAAACUGGGUCAAAUACCGGAUAGGACCACUGAUCGCAUGGUUGGUGGUGGAAAGUUUUUUCGGUGGGGGAUGGGCCCGCGGCCUAUCAGCUUGUUGGUGGGGUGAUGGCCUACCAAGGCGGUGACGGGUAGCCGGCCUGAGAGGGCGACCGGCCACACUGGGACUGAGACACGGCCCAGACUCCUACGGGAGGCAGCAGUGGGGAAUAUUGCGCAAUGGGCGGAAGCCUGACGCAGCGACGCCGCGUGGGGGAUGACGGCCUUCGGGUUGUAAACCUCUUUCGCCAGGGACGAAGAGCAAUUGACGGUACCUGGAGAAGAAGCACCGGCCAACUACGUGCCAGCAGCCGCGGUAACACGUAGGGUGCGAGCGUUGUCCGGAAUUAUUGGGCGUAAAGAGCUCGUAGGCGGUGUGUCGCGUCGGCCGUGAAAACUUGGGGCUUAACUCUGAGCGUGCGGUCGAUACGGGCAUCACUUGAGUUCGGCAGGGGAGACUGGAAUUCCUGGUGUAGCGGUGAAAUGCGCAGAUAUCAGGAGGAACACCGGUGGCGAAGGCGGGUCUCUGGGCCGAUACUGACGCUGAGGAGCGAAAGCGUGGGGAGCGAACAGGAUUAGAUACCCUGGUAGUCC
RNAcentral lists this ribosomal RNA (774 nucleotides) under uncultured bacterium. RNAcentral's name for it is "bacterial SSU rRNA". It matches the Rfam family "Bacterial small subunit ribosomal RNA", at positions 8 to 796 of the family's 1533-position model. The record is from RNAcentral.